This 228-nucleotide long non-coding RNA is filed under the name Elaeis guineensis (African oil palm). Its description in RNAcentral is "long non-coding RNA (EGUI_LNC008821)". The record is from RNAcentral. Lineage: Eukaryota; Viridiplantae; Streptophyta; Magnoliopsida; Arecales; Arecaceae.
UGGUUCAUCUGUGGUCUCCUUCAUCUUCCUACUUCUAUGGGACAUGUUUUUUGAAAAUAAAGUACAAAGAAAAAAUAAUAAGACUCAAAAGAAGAAGAGGGGCUACCCUACAGUUGAAAGAGAGCGAAUGAGGGAGAACUGGUAUCUAAAAAAGAUAGAUGAAAUCCUCCCAAGAGAUGAAAUAGAUACCUCUCUCACUUCGGCAAAGCUCCUCACUGUCUCCAACGA